Molecule: ribosomal RNA, 503 nt
Filed under: uncultured bacterium
Lineage: Bacteria
Description: bacterial SSU rRNA
Rfam family: Bacterial small subunit ribosomal RNA
Source: RNAcentral
AGAGUUUGAUCAUGGCUCAGAUUGAACGCUGGCGGCAUGCCUUACACAUGCAAGUCGAACGGCAGCACGGGAGCAAUCCUGGUGGCGAGUGGCGAACGGGUGAGUAAUAUAUCGGAACGUGCCCAGUCUGGGGGAUAACGUAGCGAAAGCUACGCUAAUACCGCAUACGAUCUAUGGAUGAAAGCGGGGGAUCGCAAGACCUCGCGCGAUUGGAGCGGCCGAUAUCAGAUUAGGUAGUUGGUGGGGUAAAAGCCUACCAAGCCUUCGAUCUGUAGCUGGUCUGAGAGGACGACCAGCCACACUGGAACUGAGACACGGUCCAGACUCCUACGGGAGGCAGCAGUGGGGAAUUUUGGACAAUGGGCGCAAGCCUGAUCCAGCAAUGCCGCGUGCGGGAUGAAGGCCUUCGGGUUGUAAACUGCUUUUGUACGGAACGAAACGGUUCUUUUUAAUAAAGAGAGCUAAUGACGGUACCGUAAGAAUAAGCACCGGCUAACUACGUG